This is a long non-coding RNA of Cannabis sativa, 483 nucleotides long. RefSeq lists it as uncharacterized. The record is from RefSeq and is a predicted model, not a curated record. NCBI's taxonomy places the organism in Eukaryota, Viridiplantae, Streptophyta, Magnoliopsida, Rosales, Cannabaceae. The transcript is spliced from 2 exons.
AUAUUAGAAGGGAAAUUUGAUUUUCUAUACUUAGAAAAUCAAAAAAUUUGAUUUCUAAACCAAUAAUUUAAACCCUAAAAAAACUAUACCUUUUUUUUCAAAACCCCAAAAAUACCCCCAAACUAAAACUAUCUCUCUUUCUCUCUCUAUCUAGCCGGUCCCAAGAAUCCCACACCCCAGGUCCGACCAUCGGACCUCUCUCUUCCCCUCUCUCUCAAAUCGCAGGAAAAAAAAAUAAUAAAAUAAAUAAAAGCCGGUCGGACCUUCGGGUCCGAUGGGUCCGAUGGUCCCAUGGGUCCGACCAUCGGACCCAUCGGACCCGAAGGUCCGACCAUCGGACCUCUUUCUUCCUCUCUCUCCAAAAUCGCAGAAAAAAAAAAAAAUUAAAAAGACGGUCGGACCUUGGGGGUCCGACCAUCGGACCUCUGUCUUCUUCCCUCUCUCAAAUCGCAGGAAAAAAAAAAAAAGUUUCAGAGACUGGGG